GCAGAAGCUUCUGGGAAUCAGGGAAAAAUCGUUCGAACCCCAUGAUUGGCAAUGAUUGCCACUUAUAUAGGCUUGAUCCAAGGGGCAAGUUGGAGAAACAGAUUUGGGUGGCUCAAUCUCAUUCGUCCAGCUGGCACUUAAGUGAAGGCCUGUGUUGGUAUGCUUGGUAUUGCAGCAGCAUUUAGUUAGGUUACUCUGACUUGUGUUUCAAUAGAGCUUGGCAGCAUGAUACAUUGAUUCAUGAAAUAGUCUCAGUUCAAAUUCCCUGCAUUUUUGAUUGGUGGCUUAAAGAUACAACUGGUGUGGCGCACACAUGCUUUGAGUUGGUAUUCCUUAUAGUUUCACAGGUUCAUGGCAAAGCUAUCUCGCAACUUGGUUACGUGGCGCAUUCAGCAUGUAUACUGCCUUGUUCUUUAUGUGAUCUUUGACAAGUUUCAGUUGCAAACUCGCCUAAAGAAAAUUCAGAGAGAGCAUCACUUUUUCACUCAGCUGGCUUGUGUUGAAAUAUUGCUCUAAAUUCUGAUACAUUGCAGGUUUAUCAAUUUGUGCAGUGUCAGUUAUGGUAACCUGGGAAGCAGGUUGGGUUAAUUGUUGGUUGUACUGUAUUUUUUCAUGUUCCGAACCAGAACCACAUGAUGAAGCUUUCGCAUUCAAAGGCUAACAGCACCUAAGCUCAUGUUUGCAGAAGACUGAUAUGGACGCAUAUAAGGCGUUCCAUCACCAGCUACAACAGAUUGCUUCGAAAAUCCUCGAGCACCUCUACUAUGAAGACUGAACUGCUGCACUGUCAUGUCACUGGAGUUUCCAGCCACACCAGCAUUGCCGGGUGAGCCCAAAUGGCCGGAUGGAGCUAUCUGCCUGGCUUUUGCAUAAACUAACUAUUCAGACACACCACUAGAUGAGUUAGCACGAGCAAAUCCAUCGCUUGCAACUUUCGGAGAAGUAGCCUUCCAGUUUGUAACGGGGAUAGAGGGUGACUGAGCAACAAUGCUAAUAAUUCCCUUUUGGUUGUUGAAUCAUUCUUGAUUGCAUCAAGAGAAAGAGCUGAACCAGUCUCAUGUUUCGCGCUUCGCACAUGCAUUCCCAUCACAUUGUUGCACCUUGCCAACUAUUGAUACCCUGUACUGCCGGCUUGCAGGCAGCUUGGCGCUCACACAAUUGAUUCAAGGAUCACGAUGGUGUUUGAAGGGUCAAACGGUGAUUGAGACAAAUGGUGUAGCAGGUCUGCAGCAGGUAACACUUCUUGCCAUUCUGCAACUGACUGUAGCCUAGCCUCACUGUUGGAUUCACCUCAACCUUCUACAUUGCUUAAGAACUGUGGAUGCCAAGCCUUAUGUGAAGCUGUCAAAUGGAUCUGGUCUCCCUUGUAGGCCGUGAAUGCAAAUGCUACUACUAUGCAAUGCUACUAUGAGUUUGCCGCAGCUGGCUCGGUGUUGGCAACUAGUAUAACAAAGCGCUUCCGUUCGUGCUCUUCCGUUAGCAGCUUCAUUUGCCAAUUCCAUUGUUUUAUUUUUUUCCAUUUUCAUUUUGUCUUAUUGGACAUGUAACAUUGUACUCAUUAAAAUUGAAUUGGAUAAAUGGAAGGGUUAAAAUGGAUAUGAAA
This is a long non-coding RNA of Lathyrus oleraceus (garden pea), 1603 nucleotides long. RefSeq lists it as uncharacterized. Lineage: Eukaryota; Viridiplantae; Streptophyta; Magnoliopsida; Fabales; Fabaceae. The record is from RefSeq and is a predicted model, not a curated record. The transcript is spliced from 4 exons.